UCCAGACUCCUACGGGAGGCAGCAGUGGGGAAUAUUGCACAAUGGGGGAAACCCUGAUGCAGCGACGCCGCGUGAGUGAAGAAGUAUUUCGGUAUGUAAAGCUCUAUCAGCAGGAACGAGACAAGACGGUACCUGACUAAGAAGCCCCGGCUAACUACGUGCCAGCAGCCGCGGUAAUACGUAGGGGGCAAGCGUUAUCCGGAAUCACUGGGUGUAAAGGGAGCGUAGACGGCUGUGCAAGCCUGAAGUGAAAGGCGGGGGCCCAACCCCUGGACUGCUUUGGGAACUGUGCGGCUGGAGUGCAGGAGAGGUAAGUGGAAUUCCUAGUGUAGCGGUGAAAUGCGUAGAUAUCAGGAGGAACACCGGUGGCGAAGGCGGCUUACUGGACCAUAACUGACGUUGAGGCUCGAAAGCGUGGGGAGCGAACAGGAUUAGAUACCCAAGUACA
Molecule: ribosomal RNA, 448 nt
Filed under: uncultured bacterium
Lineage: Bacteria
Description: bacterial SSU rRNA
Rfam family: Bacterial small subunit ribosomal RNA
Source: RNAcentral